ACACUGACGUCGGCGACGCAUAUCAAUAAGCGGAGGAAAAGAAACUAACAAGGAUUCCCUUAGUAACGGCGAGUGAAGCGGGAAGAGCUCAAAUUUGAAAUCUUCAAGGUUCUACCUUGACGAAUUGUAGUUUAAAGAAGUGUUUUCUGUUAGAUGAGUAGCAAAAGUUCCUUGGAAUGGGACAUCAUAGAGGGUGAGAAUCCCGUAUUUGGUUAUUCAUUCUAGCUUUGUGAUACACUUUCAAAGAGUCGGAUUGUUUGGGAAUGCAGUCCAAAAUGGGUGGUAAAUUUCAUCUAAAGCUAAAUAUUGGCGAGAGACCGAUAGCGAACAAGUACCUGUGAGGGAAAGAUGAAAAGAACUUUGAAAAGAGAGUUAAACAGUACGUGAAAUUGUCAAAAGGGAAGCGUUUGACACCAGUGUUGUUUUUCCGAAAAUCAAUUACUAAAUGGCUUGAUUUUGUGUUGUAUUGACCUUAUCAGCUUUCUGCACUUUUUUCGAGUCUUUCUUAAUGCACUUUUCGGUUAACAAGUCAACAUCAAUUUCUUUUGUUGUAAAAGAGUAUUCGGAAGGUGGCUUUCUUUUCGGAGAAAGUGUUUAUAGCCCUAUACUUCUACAAUCGGAGAGAUUGAGGUCUGCAGCGUAGAUCCUUCGGGGUUAGAUACAUUUGUGCUAAGUUGUAGCUUUUCAUAGACAACUUGUUGACUAUGUUUAGUCAUGCGGCUUACUCGCUUAUGCUAUUUUACCUACGCUUAGGAUGUUGAGUCGUAGAGCACGCAG
Molecule: ribosomal RNA, 777 nt
Filed under: uncultured Neocallimastigales
Lineage: Eukaryota; Fungi; Neocallimastigomycota; Neocallimastigomycetes; Neocallimastigales
Description: partial large subunit ribosomal RNA
Rfam family: Eukaryotic large subunit ribosomal RNA
Source: RNAcentral